Molecule: transfer RNA, 72 nt
Filed under: Ovis aries (sheep)
Lineage: Eukaryota; Metazoa; Chordata; Mammalia; Artiodactyla; Bovidae
Rfam family: tRNA
About the family: Transfer RNA (tRNA) molecules are approximately 80 nucleotides in length. Their secondary structure includes four short double-helical elements and three loops (D, anti-codon, and T loops).
Source: Rfam by way of RNAcentral
UCCCUGGUGGCUAAGACGGUAAAGCGUCUGCCUACAAUGUGGGAGACCCGGGUUCAAUUCCUGGGUCGGGAA